This 422-nucleotide ribosomal RNA is filed under the name uncultured delta proteobacterium. RNAcentral's name for it is "bacterial SSU rRNA". It matches the Rfam family "Bacterial small subunit ribosomal RNA", at positions 9 to 426 of the family's 1533-position model. The record is from RNAcentral. Lineage: Bacteria; Deltaproteobacteria.
GAGUUUGAUCUUGGCUCAGAACGAACGCUGGCGGCGGGCCUCAUACAUGCAAGUCGAGCGCGAAAGUCCGCAAGGAUGAGUAAAGCGGCGCACGGGUGAGUAACACGUGGGUAAUCUACCCUUUAGAUUGGAAUAACCUGUCGAAAGACGGGCUAAUGCCAAGUAAGCUCUCGGAGUCGUAAAGUCUCUGCGAGGAAAGAUGGCGCAAGCUAUCGCUGAAGGAUGAGCCUGCGCCCCAUUAGUUAGUUGGUGAGGUAACGGCUUACCAAGACGAUGAUGGGUACCUGGUUUGAGAGAAUGACCAGGCACACUGGAACUGAAACACGGUCCAGACUCCUACGGGAGGCAGCAGUAGGGAAUAUUGCGCAAUGGACGAAAGUCUGACGCAGCCACGCCGCGUGAGUGAAGAAGGCCUCGGUUGU